Molecule: ribosomal RNA, 585 nt
Filed under: uncultured bacterium
Lineage: Bacteria
Description: partial 16S ribosomal RNA
Rfam family: Bacterial small subunit ribosomal RNA
Source: RNAcentral
UGGGGAAUUUUGGACAAUGGGCGAAAGCCUGAUCCAGCAAUGCCGCGUGUGUGAAGAAGGCCUUCGGGUUGUAAAGCACUUUUGUCCGGAAAGAAAUCCUUGGCUCUAAUACAGUCGGGGGAUGACGGUACCGGAAGAAUAAGCACCGGCUAACUACGUGCCAGCAGCCGCGGUAAUACGUAGGGUGCAAGCGUUAAUCGGAAUUACUGGGCGUAAAGCGUGCGCAGGCGGUUUUGUAAGACGGAUGUGAAAUCCCCGGGCUUAACCUGGGAACUGCAUUCGUGACUGCAAGGCUAGAGUAUGGCAGAGGGGGGUAGAAUUCCACGUGUAGCAGUGAAAUGCGUAGAGAUGUGGAGGAAUACCGAUGGCGAAGGCAGCCCCCUGGGCCAAUACUGACGCUCAUGCACGAAAGCGUGGGGAGCAAACAGGAUUAGAUACCCUGGUAGUCCACGCCCUAAACGAUGUCAACUAGUUGUUGGGGAUUCAUUUCCUUAGUAACGUAGCUAACGCGUGAAGUUGACCGCCUGGGGAGUACGGUCGCAAGAUUAAAACUUAAAUGAAUUGACGGGGUCAUAGCUGUUUCCU